UUUUCUUUUUUUUUUAAUAUUUCACUUGUUCGUAGAUCUGCUUACUUCCACUCACCAGACUGUAGAAGACAUUGAGAUUCAGAUGGCCUCAGAGACCCAGCUGCUAUUUCCUGGGCUGCCAGCGAUAUUCUGAGCAGUGUUGCUCAGGAGCACACCACACCUCCACGCCCGUAUUCAUUAGCUGGACUUUGUAUAGCUGCUGUCUUAGUCAUUCUCUCCUUUAAAUAAAAAUCAGCGCAAAAGGACAUGUCUACUUCUCACGCAUGGUCAAGCUGAGAUGUGAGGCGCGGUUCAGAGAGCGUGAAAAGUAGGCUCAGUUCAGAGACUGUUCUAGCUGCCAAGCCCAAGGAGCUGGGGAAGGAGGGGCACCGGGCUGGUCCUCCAGGGUCCGGUGCACAGAAUGAGAGCGCUUAGGGCAGGCUGGGAAGUGCCGUUUUCCUUAAGUCUUGUUUGGUUUUUAUUUUCUCUUGUGCCACCACCAAACUGUGGAGGACCUGCUGUGACCUCAGGUGUGAUCCAUUCCUCUAACAGAUGCGACCUUGAAAACUGCAGAACACUCGGGACCAGGGAACUCUUUCUGUUCACAUCAUACCCUGGAUUUUUCCCUGUGGACCGCAGGGACAGCAGAGUCUUGUUUGGCUUUCUUUGUUAGAAUUGUGACUGUGGAGUACUCUUCCUCUCACCCUCUUAACCGUCCUCCCACCUUUGUGUGUGCCCUUGUGUGCGUGUGUGUAUGUGUGUGUGUGCUUUUCCUUUGCACUAAUUAACCAAAUGAAUUUUGUGUCAUUGUCUUUGGGGCUGAUCUGUAUUUUUUAAAACUAGAGGUAUAGAAAUUGGCUCUUUUAUUAUUUGAAAAGUAUGUUUUAAAGAGGGGUCUGGUAUUGCUCUUUCUAGUUCCCUUUCAACCAAAUCUCCAAAUCUCUCCUGGCACUCCCCCCCCCAGCUUUCCUUGUGUUGGGUCGUUAUCCCCAUGGCCACCUCUGCCUCCACCUGCUGUCACCACAGCCCCAUGCCCAGGCACCCAGGACUUCUAGGAAGCUUGAGAGUCAGCCUGAAAAGGCCCCUUGCCUACUGUUGAAGAGCCACCUGCAGGGCUCCAGAGACACUGGGUUAUUAUUGUUAAGUCCCUGGCUCAGGUGAGAAGGAAGAACUUGGGAAGCGGAAAGUAACUGUGCCAUCUCUGUACCCUUUAUGGCUUCUGCACAGACUAGAGCAUCCCCACCCUGCCCCUGCCCUCGGAAGGUGAAGUCCCUGUGUGCAUUGCCCACCCCCCUUUCCUUGUCUGUAUGUCCCUGCUUAUUUAAAGCUUGCUUUCUCCCAUGCUUUCCUAGGGCAUAACCAUUUCAGGCCCCCAAAGCAUCUCUUCACCCUCUUCAUGUGCAUUUUUUUAACCAAAUGAAGUAGACAAGAAAGGCACACUCUGGAGCAACAGAAGCCCUAGUUAGUAGAAUCACUGUAUAGAUAGAGCUGUUGAUAUAUAUGUUUGUAUAUAUAUAUAUAUCAAACCAAAUUCUGAUAGAAGAUAGCUUUACAGCUGAGGGGAAAGCGGAGCCCUCUAGAGGUCAGAGCCAGCCUUAGCAUGCGCGUCCCUGCUCCUUCACCAUGGGCCAAGUGGCCCUUGUCCCUCUCACCACAGUGGAGCUGGGUCCUGAGGAGGCCACCACUCUCUGGUCCCCAGCAUCAAGGGCAUGGAUGAGGAAGGAGUGGCAGCCGGUCAGGAUGACUGGAAUUUUCCAAGCUGUUUUGCUUUGACCACACGUAUUGAACUACAGCCUGAUAGUAUAUCACAUUUCCAAAAAUGAUAUCCAUUAGGAUGGAAAGAGAACAGAUCUGUAGAAAUGUUUACCUUCCAGCUGCCCAUGAAUUCAGGACACUCUGAAUAGACAGGCACACUCGCCAGAAAGUCAGCGGGAAAGAGGAGGCCUGGUGAUGCCCGGUCCCCAGCCCCAGGCACACAGCUCCCUCCUGAGGUCACCUCACCCAGGUCUUUCUCUACUGGGUCAUCUUAGCUCAAUCUCAGUAACUCCAUGAAGCCCUGGUCUGUUGUGUUUCUCACUGUAUGGUUUCUGUAAUAAAAAGUGUUAAUCCAUGUUAAUCUGUGUGAAAAUUAUUGCGUGCAACAGUAUUUUCUCAUGUACCUCUUUCCCUCUGUGAAUUGUCCCUCUUAUUUUUUAUUUAUAAAUGUCUACUUUUUUUUAAAGACAAACCAAUGUGUUGUAGACCUCUAUGUAACUAUUCCUUAGUCUCAUAGGUAUGUUAUAAGAAUGGAUAUUUUACUUGGCUUUAGAAUGUUUUACAAGAAAACUAAUUCUUAACUGAUCAAGUCCUUGCUACUAAAAUGCUUGUGUUUUUUCAUCAUGAUGUCGUGUGCUUCUAAAUUAAUCAUUUUCGUUGUAGAAAAAUGGAGUGAAUUUAUAUUAGUCUUGGAAACUAAUAAUAGCAUUGUAAAUUUAUGAGAUGAUUUUAACAGAAAAAAUUAUAGAAGAAUAUAGUUAUUUUAAUUGUAAUAUUACUAACUGUAGGGUGAGAAGGGGGGUCCCGUUGUGGUGAACUAUGUUAUAGCUUGUUACAGUUUCUUUUGAUCAUUUUUUCGGUCUCUGAGGUGAAACGAGUUAUUAAUUAAAAUUUGUAAACUCACAUAUGCAUAUUGUAUAUGUGUAGAAAUGUAAUCACACUUUGUCUUGGAAUUACAUUAAACUGUUUGGAAUCAC
Molecule: long non-coding RNA, 2711 nt
Organism: Fukomys damarensis (Damara mole-rat)
Lineage: Eukaryota; Metazoa; Chordata; Mammalia; Rodentia; Bathyergidae
Exons: 2
Source: RefSeq, a predicted model, not a curated record